UUGGAUUUUUAAAAAGAAACUGUUCAAAAGACAUGUCUCGUAAUGCCCUUAAGUCCCUUUAUAUUGCAAUUGUUAGAUCUCGAUUCGGUUAUUGUAGCCAAUUGUGGGCCCCCAGUCCGUUAUACGUAAUAUCUUUCUGCUGGAGUCUGUUCGACGUAGAUCAACUAAAUUUAUAUGUGGAUAUACGGAAGCAAACUAUCGUGAUCGACUUGUCCAGCUAAAGCUAUUACCUGUCAGCUACUGGCUGGAAUACUUAGAUCUAAUAUUCUUCUUUAAGUGUAAAGUGGGCAUAUAUUCUAUAGAUUUAUCUAAUCACUUAACGUUUUGUGCUGGAGUUACAAGGCGCUCGUCUUCAGGUCUGUAUUUACGACAAAACUGUAUUCCAAAAACCUCCAGUUUUAGAGAUUCUUAUUUCAUACGUAUUGUAAAUAUUUGGAAUGCUUUACCUAACAAUAUUAAGGCUAGUAGUUCCUUAACUGGGUUUAGAGUGAAGUUGAAAGAAUUCUAUUUUGAAAGGUUACGAUCAGUGUUUGAUGGGGACAACAUCAGGUCGUACAAAAUUAUUUGUCUAAAAUGUCGUAGUGUCAACACCAUGAAUUUAUGUACUUGUUGACUGACUUUGAUUUUAGUGUAAUUGUAAGAGUGCGGCAAUUGACCUUGUAAGAGACUUCGUGUCCUAUUGUUACUCCGCCAAGCAUAAAAUUGUUAUUUUGUAAUACUUUAUAUA
This 727-nucleotide long non-coding RNA is filed under the name Paramuricea clavata. The record is from RNAcentral. Lineage: Eukaryota; Metazoa; Cnidaria; Anthozoa; Malacalcyonacea; Plexauridae.